UCAAUAUGGACUGGUCUGACUGGUCUUACUAUGAAUCACCAAUAUAGCCGAGUCCGAUUUAAGUUAAAACUCAGAUGUGAUCUAGCGCUAAAACUAAUUGAAAACCGGCAAAACCAGUGACCACAUUUCUAAUUUGCAUAAUUUAUUUCCUUUUUUGUGUUACAGUUUAACGCAAAUAUUAUUAUAAUUUGUUUCGGUAAAAAUUCUAUUGUUACUCUUUUUUUUUUUUUUCAAAGCAAAUAAAGCAGAAUUUGUUAAACCAAUUCUCAUUUAAAACAAAACUUAUGAUUUUAUAUAUAUAUAUAUAUUAUUAGAUAAACCCACAG
This 326-nucleotide long non-coding RNA is filed under the name Brassica rapa (field mustard). Its description in RNAcentral is "long non-coding RNA (BRAP_LNC007258)". Lineage: Eukaryota; Viridiplantae; Streptophyta; Magnoliopsida; Brassicales; Brassicaceae. The record is from RNAcentral.